Molecule: small nucleolar RNA, 106 nt
Organism: Zingiber officinale
Lineage: Eukaryota; Viridiplantae; Streptophyta; Magnoliopsida; Zingiberales; Zingiberaceae
Source: RefSeq, a predicted model, not a curated record
AAACCAUGGCGAGGACACUGUCUUAAUAAACCUUUAAAUUUAUCUCAUGCCUCAAAUAGUGAUUCUCCAUCUACUUGAGAAAAAUUUGUGAUGUAAUUUCUCAUAU